UAUGGUCCUGAUGCAAUAGAACUGGUACCCUUAGAAUAAGAUGAGACACCAGUGGUCUCUCUCUGCUAUGUAAGUACACAGCGAGAAGGUAGCUAUCAGAAAGGUGGAAACAAAAGCUCUGAACCAGAACCCAACUCUGCUGGAAUGCUUAUCUUAGCUUCUGGCCUCCAAAGUCCAAGAAAAUAAACAAGUUUCUGCUGUUUAAGCUACCCAAUCUAUGGCAUUUUGUUAUGACCAUUUAAGGUAAUAAAGGAGCUUUCCUCAACUUUAUUCACAGCCAGGCUACUGAACCUCUUCAUUCUCCAUCUGUACCACUCCUGUGGGCAAGAACAAAAGCAGAAAAAAAAAAAAGCUAGGGAACAGAGAUGCCUUUUCAUGCUCUUAAUCAAAGAUAAUAAAUGGAAAGUAUGAUGUAAAUGCCCACUGUGAGCAAAGUUUGGGUCUACACACUGGAGGAGACCUGAAGAAGAAUGCAGUCGAAACCCUGCCCUCAAAAUUAAGGGAGCUGCAGUGUGGGAACUGACAUGGAUGUGGGAACUGACCUUAAUGGACAAGAUGACUUUACAAGGCAUAGCUAAUCAUUCUACUGAGAAAAUACUUUUUCAUUCAUUCUCCAGUUGCUCUUUUCUUUUUCAACUUCAUGGAAGACAACUGAAACAGCAGGAGAGAAACACAAGGAUGAAGAACUUGAGAACUGUGUCUUAAACACACCCGGUCCCUCCCUUCCUUAGUCACCUACCAACAGAGAUCAUGCUCACAAGAAGUCUAACUGGUACCACCACCCGAUCAUCAACCUACGCCUGCACAUGCUGUUCUCUUCAUUGCUGGGAUAUCUGCUGCUAAGAAGAAAAAUGGGGAAGAGCACUGAAUGCAAUAGAUAAGCUGAUGAGAAGGAACCUCUUUAACAUAUGAACUGGCAACCAGAGAGCUCUUCAGUCUGUCACUUGACAUCCUUAGCCUGAAAGUGUAUGCCAAACAUCCUCAGAAAACACUAGCCUUCUGCCUAGCAAAUAUGACAAAAUAGCUUAGAUGACUCUAAGUUUCAAAUGAUAGGCUCUUACUGAUUUCAUUGGCCAUGCAAAAGAGCAUGGACCAUAGGGCGAGGGCCUGGACAGAAUGGACAUACACAAAAUUUAAUUAAAAUGGGAAAUACAACCCAGACCCAGCAUAAUGAUUUUUCUCCAGGCUACUGUUGCUCACUACCUCUUCAAUACAUUAGAAAAUAUUAGGUGAACAGAUUUGUAGCUUAGAACCCUCUGCUCUUCUUUGGCUAUUCACCACAUUGUAAUGGGAUGCCUAUUUAUACCAAAGAAAUAGCCUGUAUGCAUAGUAAUGUGCAUGGAAUCUGUCCCAGGACAGCAGAAGCCAAGUUAUCCUUCUCUUGUCUUUAUACAGUAAGAGUCCCUUCUGGAUCUCAUAAACGCUCCUACUUUAUAUUAUUUAUAUACUUUAGCAAAUACUGCCUGUUAUCAUGGACAAUUUUGUUUGAAAAUCGGCAAUUAAAAAGAGAGUACACCUGCUCUGAACACCAA
Molecule: long non-coding RNA, 1532 nt
Organism: Neofelis nebulosa (Clouded leopard)
Lineage: Eukaryota; Metazoa; Chordata; Mammalia; Carnivora; Felidae
Exons: 6
Source: RefSeq, a predicted model, not a curated record